UACAGAGGUCCCAAGCGUUGUUCGGAUUCACUGGGCGUAAAGGGUGCGUAGGUGGUGGGGUAAGUCCGAUGUGAAAGCUCCGAGCUCAACUCGGAAAUUGCAUUAGAAACUACCUUGCUAGAGGGUUGGAGGGGGGACUGGAAUUCUCGGUGUAGCAGUGAAAUGCGUAGAUAUCGAGAGGAACACCUGCGGCGAAGGCGGGUUGCUGGGCUGAUACUGACGCUGAGGCGCGAAAGCCAGGGGAGCGAACGGG
This 253-nucleotide ribosomal RNA is filed under the name uncultured bacterium. RNAcentral's name for it is "partial 16S ribosomal RNA". It matches the Rfam family "Bacterial small subunit ribosomal RNA", at positions 524 to 776 of the family's 1533-position model. The record is from RNAcentral.